AAUGGGCGCAAGCCUGAUCCAGCAAUGCCGCGUGCAGGAUGAAGGCCUUCGGGUUGUAAACUGCUCUUGUACGGAACGAAAAGCUCUGGGCUAAUACCUCGGAGUCAUGACGGUACCGUAAGAAUAAGCACCGGCUAACUACGUGCCAGCAGCCGCGGUAAUACGUAGGGUGCGAGCGUUAAUCGGAAUUACUGGGCGUAAAGCGUGCGCAGGCGGUUUUGUAAGACAGUGGUGAAAUCCCCGGGCUCAACCUGGGAACUGCCAUUGUGACUGCAAGGCUGGAGUGCGGCAGAGGGGGAUGGAAUUCCGCGUGUAGCAGUGAAAUGCGUAGAUAUGCGGAGGAACACCGAUGGCGAAGGCAAUCCCCUGGGCCUGCACUGACGCUCAUGCACGAAAGCGUGGGGAGCAAA
RNAcentral lists this ribosomal RNA (410 nucleotides) under uncultured bacterium. RNAcentral's name for it is "bacterial SSU rRNA". It matches the Rfam family "Bacterial small subunit ribosomal RNA", at positions 370 to 772 of the family's 1533-position model. The record is from RNAcentral.